UUACAUGUUUCUAGAGCUGCAACACAAAAUAUUGUAGAGGAUUUGCAUAAUCUGCUGUCUUUUUCUAACAGUCAGACUCUUAACAGUGUCAAAGAGAUCCUUUUAAAUCAUAGAAUUGAAAUAAAUGAUUCUAUUUUGCAAGAAAUUUCUGAUGCUGUAGUUCAAACUAAUCCACUACUAAUCCACUACUUUUAACAACAUCAAAGAACGGUUCCUUAUCUACAGAUUACCGAAGGAAUGUAUAUUUCAAGGAACAAUUUUUUGUUAUAGAACCCAUAGAAUAUCUGUAAAACACACCCCACACGCCAUCAAAUUGUAUUUGAACAAGAAGCUUUAUCAGGGCACUUUAGAGACAGAGAAAAUAAGAUACUAGGAGAGCAAAACAAAUGUAUCAGUUUGGCAUUCUAUAUUGAUGAAUUUGAAGUUUGUAACCCGCUCGGCACCUCUAGAAAACUUCAUUAGAUAACUGCAGUAUAUUGGGUUGUUCUAAAUUUACCAUCCAAGUUCCGGUCAAGUCUUACUUCAAUUCAGCAAGCUGUCAUGGGUAAAAGUGUAGAUGUCAAGAAAUACGGUUUUGAAAAGUUUCUUGAACCGCUGAUUAAAGAUAUAAGAUGUCUAGAACAAGAGGGAAUUUUUGUUGACGUUUUAGGUCAGUUUGUAAAGCAGUAAUUCUCAACUGGUGGGUCGCGACCCACUUGUGUUUGAAAAAUCUGAUCUCAAAAGGUGUCAUUACAUUUGAUGCACUCAAUGAAAGUAUAAAAUCAUUUACCUACAAGUAUUCAGACAAAGUAAACAAACCACACAAAAUUCCAAAAGCAAGCUUUGGAAAAGGAACUAUUGGCAAAAAUGGACAUGAAAAUUGGACACUGCUGCUCUUACUCCCUUUCAUAAUUGGAUGUAAGAUAACAGAACAGGAGCCUGCAUGGGAGAUGUUAAUGGACUUGAAGGAAAUUGUUGAGAUUGUUGUGUCAAACAGACUGUUGGAAGAAACAUUGUUUUAUUUAUCUUGUAAACUACUGGACCAUCGGAAGUUGCUCACAAAUACCUUUCCGGAUUUCAGACUACAGCCAAAAGACCACUUCAUGGACCACUCCCCACAUCUUAUUCGCUGCUAUGGACCUUUAGCGGAAUUAUGGACAAUGAGAUUCGAAGCUAAGCAUAGCUUCUUUAAAAAGGUGGUCCAUGACACUCAUAACUAGAAAAAUGUGCUGCUCACUCUUUCCACCAAACACCAACAAAUGAUGGCAUACCAUCUGGAUAAUAAUAACCUUUUCAAGCCUCAACUUGAAAUGGUAAAAGUGGUCAGGGUUUCAAAAUUAGAUGCAUCACUUAAGUGUGAAAUACAAAAGAAGUACCCAUAUCUUGACAGUGUGUCUCUGUCUAAAACGAUUCACCUGCAUGGAACUCAGUAUGCGGAGGGAAUGAUUUUAUCGAGUGGACAGUGCAGUGGCCUCCCAGAAUUCCAUAAGAAUGUUACUAUUCUUGUCAACACUGAGGAGGUGGCAUUCAUUUGUAAAAGACUCUCUUCCUGGUACAUUGAACAUUUCAGGUCUUAUGAGCUUGUUGAAGGCCACUGUUCAGAAAUUGUCAUUCUGGAUCCAGAUAUGCUGACGGAUUACCACCGUCUCGCAGCAUACACAGUUGGUGGAAAGUUGAUGGUGACCAUAAGAACAUUCAUUCUCCAUUAAAGCAACUCAAAAUGGUAUGUUGUCUUGUGCCAGCUGUUUAAUUUUAACAUUUCUACCAAUUUGGAAAACAUUAUAGUGGUACUGCAACAGUUACAUGAUCUAUUUUUAUAAUGAGUAAUACAUUAAAAACACCACUGCAAUCUCUUCAAGAUGUUGGAUGUCUCCUAUAAACAGGUUUGACUAUUUUCUCCUGUUUUUUCUUCUAUCUUUUUGUUGCUUCGUGUAGUUUGUCCUCCAGAGAAGCCCGGCGAGUCCAGCUGCCUGAAGUGCCAGGAUCUGUGGCUGAACUGAUUGAUGAACUUAAAGAGAAACUCGAACUUGAUGGGGAUUUUUACCUACAGUUUGAGGAUCCAGAUUUUGGAAAUGCACUUUGUAAGUUGACAGCAAUGUCUGAAUUACCAGCUGAGCGUGCAGUCCUGCAUAUUAUGUGGAACUGUGAUUCAUCUGCCCCUCACUAAUCCAGCAACAGUUCCAUUUGUUCAUUCUCUUCUCUUGAUACAGCAAGUGUUCACUCUGAAGAUUUCAGGUCCAGCUAUACUGAUUCCAUCAUGAGCAAUUUAAGACAUGUUGCAGGGUGGCCCACUCCAUUCCCUAUUCCUAAAUUCUCAUAUGAUGUUGAACUUAAAUUGCGAAAGGGGAAUGAGGCAUAUGAAAAGUCAAAGAAGGGCAUUGAUGUGACAAGAGACAUGAAAAUGGAUAUUUUGGAUAAACUUGCACAAGCAAUUAUUGAAUUUAAAAGCUACCCUGAGAAAGAGGAACUUGAAUCAGUUGCCUCUUCAUUGGUUCUCAAGUAUCCAUGUCUGAAGGAGCCAGGUAGCAGUAAGGGGUAUGAUGGAUGGAAAACAAGUAUCAAGCACAAGCUCGGAAACUACAGGUCAAAGCUUCGUCAGACGGGCUGCAAUGAGGUGAAUGUCAACAGAAAAAGAAAAGGGGGAGAUGAAGAUUACACUUCUUUCACCCUGAAAAGGCCCAAACGUGGUGAGGUCAAUCAUGUCCCAGAUUAUCCACAAUAUCAUGAUGAUUCUACUCUUGAGGAGGAAAGAGUUUCUCUGGUAGACGAAAUGAAGAAGAAGAACAACACAUUGAUCCGGCAAAAGAUGGAGCUAACAUUUUCCCUUAGACGAAAAGAGGUAGUAGAAGGGAAGCCUAUGGUUUCAGAAGUGCAGGCGGGAUGGCCUGUUUUGUUUUCCAUUGAGGAGGUAAGGCUCAUUUAUUCUCUUAUAAUGCUUUUUGCAGUGUUAAAUUGGGCAGGAUCAAUCAUACUACCUUGACUUGAAAAAAAAUGAUGGUUUGAUUUGUAUUGAAUUCUUGGUCCUUAAGAUUUAUGUUUACAAAUGCCAUACCUCAUAAUACUUGAAUUCUAAAACAAUUGUAUAUAUUUGCAUACAAUUUCUGUUAAAAAAAAUGGCGUAUACUACUGUACUACAGAAAUGUUACUUACACAUCAUAUGGCUUUGUCUUGUUAUUAUGUUAUUAUGUUGGUCAGAUAUCUGAAGAAUUCCAUCAGAUCACCAGCAAAGACCUCCUGGGUGAUUUAACUGCAUCCCUUGAAAGAUAUGUCCGAUGCCUGCUGAGACUUUAUCGGACAAGGAAGGGAGCUUUUGGGCAGAAGAUGGAAGACCUCCUGGAAAAGCUCAAUGUACAGACAUCGGACAUUGUGUCUUACCGAAAGACAGCAGCAUUGAGAGGCCUGCCCAUUUUUCCGCUGGACAACGCAACAAAAUUUCUCCUGGAGUGUUUGAUGCAGGGCGGUGGAGUCAACAUCAUCGAAGCGGAAGAAAACCUGAAGGCUUUUCAAAAAAAGCUACCGUUAUGGAAACGACGAACAGAGAACGAUAACUUCGCAAACUUUCCCCUGCUGGACGACUGUGUAAGUAAGAUCGAAGAUGUAUCUGGAAUCGGAGACAUUUCUGUACCCGCGGAACUGAAGUAAGUAAUUACCACGCACUUAGAUGAGCUUGCAAAGUCUCUCAACGGAUACUUCCCUACAAGAGAGUCAUAUCCAGCAUGGGUGAGACAGCCGUUCACGUUUAGUGUCGAGACAAUGAUGAAUUCCUCGAUGAAAUCAUUAAAAUUCAGCAGAGCCAGGUUCAACAGCAACUCUUCAGAACAACAUUGCUCUCAACGUUUUGGUGUCAACAAAUGGUACCCUGUUAUUGCUAAGAAAGCUCUGGAGAUUUUCAUACCGUUUGUUACAACAUAUCUUUGCGAGCAAUCCUUUUCGAGGAUGCUGGACAUAAAAACGAAGAAAAGGAACAGACUUUGUUGUGAAAAUGACAUGAGAGUGGCACUUGCCAAGGUGAAGCCGCGCAUUUCUGAACUGGUCUCUGAAAGGCAACAGCAGAAGUCACACUGAUUUGCAGUAAAUAUUCAUUAUUAUGUUUUUGUUUUUGUGUGAAAAUCAUGUUUUAAUGGUUUUGUUCUUUGAACACUGAUGUUGAUGCACGGUU
Non-coding RNA from Gasterosteus aculeatus aculeatus (three-spined stickleback), 4138 nucleotides. NCBI's taxonomy places the organism in Eukaryota, Metazoa, Chordata, Actinopteri, Perciformes, Gasterosteidae. The record is from RefSeq and is a predicted model, not a curated record.